UACGGGGGGAGCAAGCGUUGUUCGGAUUUACUGGGCGUAAAGGGCGCGUAGGCGGCCAGCACAAGUCAGUUGUGAAAUCUCCGAGCUUAACUCGGAAAGGUCAACUGAUACUGUGCGGCUAGAGUGCAGAAGGGGCAACUGGAAUUCUCGGUGUAGCGGUGAAAUGCGUAGAUAUCGAGAGGAACACCUGCGGCGAAGGCGGGUUGCUGGGCUGACACUGACGCUGAGGCGCGAAAGCGUGGGGAGCAAACAGG
Molecule: ribosomal RNA, 254 nt
Filed under: uncultured bacterium
Lineage: Bacteria
Description: partial 16S ribosomal RNA
Rfam family: Bacterial small subunit ribosomal RNA
Source: RNAcentral